AGCUAUGUGGCCUGUCCCACAGCUGCAGUACUCCCCCGUCCACUGAGCCAAGCCGCAGACCUGCCUCUGAGGAAGGGAGUGAGGCAGAGAGUGGGAUUGGGGGCAGGCGCCCUCUGGGGACUCAGGCCUGGAGAAGAAGCACCCAAAAAUUUAUUGAAGGAACUUGUAAAGAAUGUUCGUAUGACAUACAGGAAAGUAUACAAAUCCUCCAUGUACAGCCAGAUGAAUGAUCCCAAAGAGAACACUCUGCUGGAAUUGCUGCCUGUAUCAAGAAAUGGAACAAUCAAGCAGCUGGCGACUUCUAAAGAGAUACUCCUUGUCACGGCACCUGGCUACAUUCAAAACUAGUUUUCUGAGACAAGGUUUUAAAUGACUGAAUUGUCUGGAAAAGUCAUACUUGAAUGAACAAGUUGUCUGUUGAUUUCUUUGUACCAUCUUGGCUAUCAUAGGUGAUGCUCUAAUGAGCACUCUUGAACAGAAAUCUUGGCGUCUACCUCUGCUAGGUAUCAGCGUCAGGGGGCCUGGGUUUGGUUCUAGCCCUCCUUGUGUGUAAGCAAUGAGAUUUCUGCCUUUUUUCUUUCUGUGAAAUGGGAAUGAUAAGAAUUUAAAUGAAGUGGGUUUAGUACAGAGCCUGGCGCAUCUAAACACUUAAUAAACACCAGCCAUUGUUAGUCUAGUAGAUUAUUUUAUGGAAAGUUGGAUUUCUGGUGAGAGGAUCUUAAUGUUUUUAAGGCUUUGGCACAAAAUAACUA
RNAcentral lists this long non-coding RNA (752 nucleotides) under Ictidomys tridecemlineatus (thirteen-lined ground squirrel). RNAcentral's name for it is "lncRNA (ENSSTOG00000034888.1)". Lineage: Eukaryota; Metazoa; Chordata; Mammalia; Rodentia; Sciuridae. The record is from RNAcentral.